UACGGGGGGGGCAAGCGUUGUUCGGAAUUACUGGGCGUAAAGGGCUCGUAGGUGGCCAACUAAGUCAGACGUGAAAUCCCUCAGCUUAACUGGGGAACUGCGUCUGAUACUGGAUGGCUUGAGUUUGGGAGAGGGAUGCGGAAUUCCAGGUGUAGCGGUGAAAUGCGUAGAGAUCGGGAAGAACAUCAGUGGCGAAGGCGGCCUGCUGGGCUGUUGCUGACGCUGAGGCGCGACAGCGUGGGGAGCAAACAGG
RNAcentral lists this ribosomal RNA (253 nucleotides) under uncultured bacterium. RNAcentral describes it as "partial 16S ribosomal RNA". It matches the Rfam family "Bacterial small subunit ribosomal RNA", at positions 524 to 776 of the family's 1533-position model. The record is from RNAcentral.